CCCGCUGAACUUAAGCAUAUUAAUAAGGGGAGGAAAAGAAACUAACUAGGAUUCCCUCAGUAAUGGCGAAUGAAGUGGGAAGAGCUCAGGUUUAAAAUCUGACAGCAACAGCUGUCCGAAUUGUAGUCUUUUGGAUGGUCAUAGGGGUAGGCAUUGGCUCAAGUCCGUUGGAAUGCGGCGCCUUAGAGGGUGAGAGCCCCGUAGUCAGCCAAAUGAACUUGCCCCGUAAAUUGAUCGUUCGUAGAGUCGGGUUGUUUGGGAAUGCAGCCUUAACUGCGAGGUAAAUUCCUUGCAAAGCUAAAUACUGGCAUGAGACCGAUAGCGAACAAGUAGAGUGAUCGAAAGAUGAAAAGAACUUUGAAAAGAGGGUUAAAAGUACGUGAAAUCGCUAAAAGGGAAGCGAUUAGGUUCAGUAUGGGUGUAUCUCCGAAUCGUAUAUCGUGUGGGUAUAAGGGGUUACGUUUGUAAGGGCUGGUUAACACCGGUUCCAGCGUGAUUCAUGAAGCCUUCGUCGGUGUACUACUUUUGGGAUGCACUAGUCAGCAUCGGUUCGUUUGAGUUGGUGACAGAAAAGUUGGGGGAUGGAAGGCCGCCUGCGGGUGGUUGAAUACCCUGAUCAAUGGUCACCUGACGGACUGAGGUGGUCGAUAAAAGUCGACCAGCAAAGGGGGUGCCUCAAGGCAGGGCUCUGACGUUCGCAGUGAUUGACAGGGUGUAGCACUAGUGCAGUGCUGCGCCCUGGCGGUUACUCCCGGGUGUCAAUCCGCUUACCUCCUCUUGAUGCUGACAAAAUGGGCUUAAUCGACCCGUCUUGAAACACGG
RNAcentral lists this ribosomal RNA (822 nucleotides) under uncultured fungus. Its description in RNAcentral is "eukaryotic LSU rRNA". It matches the Rfam family "Eukaryotic large subunit ribosomal RNA", at positions 24 to 664 of the family's 3401-position model. Lineage: Eukaryota; Fungi. The record is from RNAcentral.